UUUACACUGCGAGAUAGCCUGCCUGUCAAGUACAUGCCGAAUGAAGGCGAAACCGCGAAUGGCUCAUUAAAUCAGUUAUGGGUCCUUGGAUCGUACCUUACUACUUGGAUAACUGUGGCAAUUCUAGGAGCUAAUACAUGCAGCAGAGCUCCGACCUUCGGGGACGAGCGCUUUUAUUAGACCAAAACCAAUCGGACCUCUGGUCCGUAGACUGUGGUGACUCUGUAUAACUUUGGGCUGAUCGCACGGGCCCGUCCCGGCGACGUAUCUUUCAAGUGUCUGCCUUAUCAACUUUCGAUGGUAGGUUACGCGCCUACCAUGGUCGUAACGGGUAACGGGGAAUCAGGGUUCGAUUCCGGAGAGGGAGCCUGAGAAACGGCUACCACAUCCAAGGAAGGCAGCAGGCGCGCAAAUUACCCACUCCCAGAACGGGGAGGUAGUGACGAAAAAUAACAAUACGGGACUCAUUUGAGACCCCGUAAUUGGAAUGAGUACACUCUAAAUCCUUUAACGAGGAUCCAUUGGAGGGCAAGUCUAGUGCCAGCAGCCGCGGUAAUUCUAGCUCCAAUAGCGUAUAUUAAAGUUGUUGCGGUUAAAAAGCUCGUAGUUGGAUCUCAGUUCCAGACGGGUGGUCCGCCUACCGGUGGUUACUGCCUGUUCUGAACAGCCAGCCGGUUUCUCUUGAUGAUCUUCACCGGUUGUCUUGGGUGACCGGCAAGUUUACUUUGAAAAAAUUAGAGUGCUCAAAGCAGGCGCGACGCCUGAAUAAUGGUGCAUGGAAUAAUGGAAUAGGACCUCGGUUCUAUUUUGUUGGUUUUCGGAACACGAGGUAAUGAUUAAGAGGGACAGACGGGGGCAUUCGUAUUGCGACGCUAGAGGUGAAAUUCUUGGACCGUCGCAAGACGAACUACUGCGAAGCUUUUGCCAAGAA
RNAcentral lists this ribosomal RNA (931 nucleotides) under Philodromus aureolus. RNAcentral describes it as "SSU rRNA". It matches the Rfam family "Eukaryotic small subunit ribosomal RNA", at positions 32 to 964 of the family's 1831-position model. The record is from RNAcentral. Lineage: Eukaryota; Metazoa; Arthropoda; Arachnida; Araneae; Philodromidae.